GACGAACGCUGGCGGCGUGCCUAACACAUGCAAGUCGAACGGAACUGUUUUGAAAGAUUUCUUCGGAAUGAAUUUGAUUUAGUUUAGUGGCGGACGGGUGAGUAACGCGUGAGUAACCUGCCUUCAAGAGGGGAAUAACAUUCUGAAAAGAAUGCUAAUACCGCCUGACAUAUCGGAACCACAUGGUUUUGAUAUCAAAGAUUUUAUCGCUUGAAGAUGGACUCGCGUCCGAUUAGUUAGUUGGUGAGGUAACGGCUCACCAAGACCGCGAUCGGUAGCCGGACUGAGAGGUUGAACGGCCACAUUGGGACUGAGACACGGCACAGACUCCUACGGGAGGCAGCAGUGGGGGAUAUUGCGCAAUGGGGGCAACACUGACGCAGCAACGCCGCGUGAAGGAUGAAGGUUUUCGGAUUGUAAACUUCUUUUAUUAAGGACGAAAAAUGACGGUACUUAAUGAAUAAGCUCCGGCUAACUACGUG
This 482-nucleotide ribosomal RNA is filed under the name uncultured bacterium. Its description in RNAcentral is "partial 16S ribosomal RNA". It matches the Rfam family "Bacterial small subunit ribosomal RNA", at positions 28 to 507 of the family's 1533-position model. The record is from RNAcentral.